Molecule: long non-coding RNA, 362 nt
Organism: Stylophora pistillata
Lineage: Eukaryota; Metazoa; Cnidaria; Anthozoa; Scleractinia; Pocilloporidae
Source: RefSeq, a predicted model, not a curated record
CACAUCCAAUAUGGCGCCGAAGGCUAUCCGGAAAGCAAGUCCGUCCAAACACGGUGGUUUUGGUGCAGUAAAAGAUUUUGUAGCCGACUUUUACAAAAAUCCUAUGAAAUGGCAGCUGAUAAAACACACUGCAAUAUUCAUUCUGGCUGUGGCAGCUGCAAGAGAAUUUUCAGACAUUGAUCUUAUGGCACCUCCUCCACCUCCUUCAUAGAGCCUUGGGUCACAAUUGCUUCCUAUCUGAUGGAUGGCAUUUUUUACCAAUGCAGCAAGACUUACGUGUGUCAGUGAUCAACCAGAUUUCUUUCCUGUAAAUGUUCAGAGUUCAAUGCUGUAACUCAUCUAUUAAAAAAUGCCGGUUUUGA